UACGGAGGGUGCAAGCGUUAUCCGGAUUCACUGGGUUUAAAGGGUGCGUAGGCGGAUAGGUAAGUCCGUGGUGAAAUCCUGCAGCUUAACUGCAGAACUGCCAUGGAUACUAUUUAUCUUGAAUGUCGUGGAGGUUAGCAGAAUAUGUCAUGUAGCGGUGAAAUGCUUAGAUAUGACAUAGAAUACCCAUUGCGAAGGCAGCUAACUACGCGAUAAUUGACGCUGAUGCACGAAAGCGUGGGGAGCGAACAGG
RNAcentral lists this ribosomal RNA (253 nucleotides) under uncultured bacterium. Its description in RNAcentral is "partial 16S ribosomal RNA". It matches the Rfam family "Bacterial small subunit ribosomal RNA", at positions 524 to 776 of the family's 1533-position model. The record is from RNAcentral.